Non-coding RNA from Salmo salar (Atlantic salmon), 72 nucleotides. Lineage: Eukaryota; Metazoa; Chordata; Actinopteri; Salmoniformes; Salmonidae. The record is from Rfam.
UCCCGUGUGGCUCAGUUGGUAGAGCAUGGUACUUGCAAUGCCAGGGUUGUAGGUUUGAUUCCCACGUGGGAC